This 393-nucleotide ribosomal RNA is filed under the name Anthopleura nigrescens. Its description in RNAcentral is "partial 16S ribosomal RNA". It matches the Rfam family "Bacterial large subunit ribosomal RNA", at positions 1985 to 2427 of the family's 2925-position model. RNAcentral also lists the same sequence under 1 other name. Lineage: Eukaryota; Metazoa; Cnidaria; Anthozoa; Actiniaria; Actiniidae. The record is from RNAcentral.
GGCCGGUAUGAAUGGCGUCACGAAGGCCCCACUGUCUUAAGAGGACUCUCCAUGAAAUUGAAUUCGUAGUGAAGAUGCUACGUCCAUAUUGUAAGACGAAAAGACCCCAUUGAGCUUUACUAAAGACUUGCAUGGCUCAAAAUAAUUUGACUUAAAUAAAAAGUUUAGAUAAUGUGGGACCCGUUUCCGGUUAAUGAAACACCACUCUUUUAUUUUAAGAGAGCUAACAUUACAAGGAUAGUGUAAGUUGGAUAGUUUGGUUGGGGCGACCACCUUUUAAAAGGUAACGAAGGUGAGCUUAAGGUCCGUAGUUAAUAGCCGGUGGCCUGACUGCAAGGGGGACGUCUCGAGCAGACACGUCCUUAGGGAUGUGGACUAUAGUGACCCGUCAUC